ACGGGGUGCAGCAGGCGCGAAACCUCCGCAAUGCACGCCAAGUGUGACGGGGGGACUCUGAGUGUUUUCAUUUUUUUGAAAACUUUUCUGGAGCGUAAAUAACUCCAGGAAUAAGAGCUGGGUAAGACGGGUGCCAGCCAUUAGUGGAGUGAAACAAGAUUCCAACAAAUCCUAUUUGCUCGCUAACUGGAAGCCGCGGUAAUACCCGCAGCUCAAGUUGUUUGGACUUUUAUUGGGUCUAAAGCGUUCGUAGCCGGAGAGACAAGUUCUUUGUGAAAUCUAACAACUUAAUUGUUAGGCGUGCAGGGAAUACUAUCUUUCUUGGGACCGGGAUGGGCCAAGGGUACUUUCGGGGUAGGGGUGAAAUCCAAUAAUCCUGAAGGGACCACCUGUGGCGAAGGCGCUUGGCUAAAACGGGUCCGACGGUGAGGGACGAAAGCUAGGGGAGCGAACGGGAUUAGAUACCCCGGUAGUCCUAGCUGUAAAUGAUGCAGAUUAGGUGUUGCGCGCCCUUCGUGGGCAUGCAGUGCCGAAGGGAAGCCGUUAAAUCUGCCACCUGGAAGUACGUCGCAAGGC
RNAcentral lists this ribosomal RNA (576 nucleotides) under uncultured archaeon. RNAcentral describes it as "bacterial SSU rRNA". It matches the Rfam family "Archaeal small subunit ribosomal RNA", at positions 325 to 849 of the family's 1478-position model. The record is from RNAcentral.